Molecule: long non-coding RNA, 3215 nt
Organism: Hemibagrus wyckioides
Lineage: Eukaryota; Metazoa; Chordata; Actinopteri; Siluriformes; Bagridae
Exons: 4
Source: RefSeq, a predicted model, not a curated record
GCGUCGCGAAUCUCGUCUCCCUCGACGUCCGCCAUGUUCAACCGGCGCGCCGCCGUGACUGGAGCGCGCGUGCAGGACGAGCUGAGCUAUAACGCUGCAUUCGACUUCCUACUCGUAAUAAGACGUCAACUGGGAAAUCCGACUCGGUGAAUCGACGGACCAACUGAGCGGAUGUUUCUCCAAGACCACUACUCAACAUUCAAAUGGCAGAUAGAGCAUCCAUAUGCUUGUUCAGGUGCAAGGUGUGGAGAAGGACCUUGGCCCUAUUCAAGAUGAACUAUUAAAGUAUGUGUUAGACAAAAAUCAACCAUCAGAAGAACUGAUCAUAAAGCAAGGCCAUUUUUGCCUCACACGAAAAGACUUCUGGAGCCUGGGUUUCAGCCAGUGUAUGGAAUCUAACGUGAGUAUGUUUAGUGUCUUAAUUUACUGCACAAAAAAACUAAUUCCUAGAUAAUGCAUAAUGUUAUGGCAGCUUUCACAGGGAUGUAAUUGUUCUGCGAUUCAUUUCGGGUCAGAAAUGCCUGCUCAAGAUUGUGGAAGAAGCUUCACGAAGGCUUGUACUUUAUAAUCUUCUAUCUUCUUUAAAAAGAAUUUAUUUUGAUGUGUGCAUUUUUAAUAACUUAUAAUGUUCUUUUCAUAAGGGAAAAAAUGUUCAGAUUGUGGACCUCUCUGCUGUUCCCACCUGGAAAGACAGAAAUGUGGACCCAGUGCAUUGUUUGCCUGAAUGUCAGACACAACCUUCACUGACCCAGGAUCCUGGACGGAAAAAACAGGAAGAGACCUUGAGGUAUGUUUAAAAUGAUGGAAUUGUGUCAAGCUAGUUUAAACUUCAUCUCUCUCUACCACAGAUUUAACUGUGUUAAAUAAAUAAAAAAAGACAAAAUACAGUAAUUUCCCAGCAUUAACAUCAUUUAUGUUGUAAUGGGUUUCUAUGUGAGUGUGUGUACCUAGUGUGUGUUUGUGUGUGUUUGUGUGUGUGUGUGUGUGUGUGUAUGUGUGUGUGCACAUGUGUGGGUAUGUGAGUUUUUUCUGCAGGGGAUAUUCUGUAGUCUCAGCCCUUUUGGUUGGGUAUGCAUAUUUUCUGGAUUGUGUCAGAUUUUGUACACACACAUAUAUAUCUGUAUUACAUGGAGUCUAGCAAUGGAAUUUUUUAAUUUAUUUAAUUUUAUUUGCCAAUUUAAUUUGUGCCAAUUUAAUUGAUUACUCAAUUUAAUCAAUAUAAUUUAAUUGAUAUAUUUUAACAAGAGGUUGUGGUGAAGUACACGGAAAGCUUUACUGCCUGUCUCUGGUUGGACCUUGUACACUGGGCCAGCUCUAAGGCGUUCCACAAGGCGUUCUACUUCCUUCUCCCAAUGAGUGCACAAUUUCCCUGGACAGAUUCCUAACAAGCACUCGGUCAUCUGGUUGAAGGAUGGCGCCUCUUACGGCUGUUGCUCUUACGGGUGUUUCUUGCCUUUGACUGCAGACUUCUGGCUGUUUGCUGCCACAAUCUGAUAGGCUUGUCUCAUUCUUGUUUCCAACUUGUGUGCAAAGACUUGGGGGUGGAAUUCCCAGGUUCCUUUGUCAGGUUGAACAGUAAGCUGACAGGCAAACGUGGAGCAUCAAGAAAAAUGAAUCUCAUAGUUCAAUUCAAACACAUUAUAUUUAAUGUGUGUCCUUUUUUGUAAACACAAUAUAUUGAAUAUUUGGAUUAGGGGUUUAUAACAUAGUCCUGGAAUACAAGGCUGCUGUUAGAAGUGCCAUACAAAUUAAUUGCAUUUUGACCAGAAGCAUUUUAUGGAUCAAACUCUUUUUGCCAUCGUAGUUCAGUACACUGUUAACCCAAAAGUUGUUUCUGUAUGAAAAAGGAGUUUUAUUGCAUUACUUAAACAGUAUAUGAGUCAAUUACUAGGCAUACUUGUUUUCGUAAGUUUUGAAAACUAGCCUGGGCUCGUUUGCUGAAGGAUACUGAUAAAUUUGCACUUUUUUCCUUAUUUUCAUAGAGUAUGAAUAUUUGGUAUUUUCUGCAAUUCACAUUCUCCUGGGACAUUUAGAUUUUCUGUCUGAAAACACGCUGUUCACAUUCUUCUGUUUUUGCCAGGUGCGGAUUAUGGUAUGCAGUUAAGAGGACGCCAUUUUCUCUCACAGACUGUUGAGUUGAGUUUUCUAUGCUCAACGAAUUAUUUAACACUGUAGAAACAUUUCCAGGUAGAAAAUGGGAAAGUGUAAAUUUGAGGUUGGCUGCAGUGCAUUGGAACUUUUGAAAAUAACAUUAUUAUUAGUUUUCACAGCAUUUAGCUGCUAUCAAUUAUUAAUUAUAUAAUUAUCAAUUAUAGCACUAGAAUUCAGAUUUUUUUUUAUUAAACCUUUUUGGCCCUAAAGCUAAUGUGCCCUAGAGUCAAUAAACUGCUCUACUUCAGAAAAAAAAUCAACGCCCAGUUUUAAUGUUAAUGUUAUUACCCUACUAUUUUUUGUUCAGACACCUUUUGUACUGUCCUGCUAUCUGUGAGAAAAGAGGACAGCUUUUCAUUAUAAGCUAAAACAUGGAACAUAUUCAAGAACUGAGCCCUUUCCCCGCCUCCAUCAGGAAUGCCUGGAUACAUUCAUGUCCCUCAGUGCACUCCAUACUCAUUUAUCCCACUUUCACACCACAACCAUGGAUCAACUGUAAACAAUACACUCGCUAAUUAAGUUUUGCUGUUUGUCAUGUGAGUCUCUUGAGCCCUGCUCUGAAACUGAAUACUUUGCACAUCUGCGGAAUACACACUUAAAAGUAAAGUUGAUUGUCCAUAUAAAGACUGUCAUUUUCAGAGUAGUGUAUAUUCUACAUUCAUUGCACACAAAAAGUAAAACACACACAGUGAGAGCAUACUUGGAAGAAUUUCAAGCCUGAAAUCACUGUCAGUAUCACCAGUGAUGUUUGUGAUACAGUAGCCCAUGAUGGUCAGGGUGAACAAGAGCAGAUGACAACGUCUGACACAAAGGACCCAACAAGUAAGGAGUUGUGGUAAUUGUCUUGGUAGCAGAACACACUCCUGUUUUAAAGAACAAGGCUCAUCAUCUUGCUGUGAGAGAUGGAAGAACAGUCUGAAAUUCAGAAUGGGUAAUUACAGAACAAAAAUCCGCCGGCUGGUUCGACUCGAUGUCACAGUUACGGUGAUAAACGUGGAAAAAAAUGUUUUUGUCAUUUAUUAAUAAAAUCCCUGUUUUCAUCUUAUCCCUGCAUUUGGUCUGGA